GGCUUGCUGUGGACUGAUGUAAUGUACGUGUGUAUCGAUAGCUCCAGCGGUUGCUAUUAGUCCCUCACCCGAUAUAACCUCGGUGAUAGUUCCUACUAUCAACCCAGGAGUAACACCCGGCUGCACGUGUGGAUUGCCGGCUUUUCCUACACCUUUUAUUUUGCCAUCUUUGAUACCUAUAUCGGCUUUAUAGAUUCCCUUGUAAUCUAUAACCAAAGCAUUGGUAAUCACCAAGUCGAGCACUUCUUCAUCUUUAAAUCCCGAAGCUUGUCCCAUCCCGUCGCG
This 285-nucleotide small RNA is filed under the name uncultured Bacteroides sp. RNAcentral's name for it is "5' ureB small RNA". It matches the Rfam family "5' ureB small RNA". Lineage: Bacteria; Pseudomonadati; Bacteroidota; Bacteroidia; Bacteroidales; Bacteroidaceae. The record is from RNAcentral.